Molecule: transfer RNA, 26 nt
Filed under: Pseudotrapelus aqabensis
Lineage: Eukaryota; Metazoa; Chordata; Lepidosauria; Squamata; Agamidae
Description: partial tRNA-Leu
Source: RNAcentral
ACUUUUAAAGGAAAACAGUGAUCCAG